RNAcentral lists this ribosomal RNA (1385 nucleotides) under Klebsiella sp. ICB527. RNAcentral describes it as "bacterial SSU rRNA". It matches the Rfam family "Bacterial small subunit ribosomal RNA", at positions 61 to 1439 of the family's 1533-position model. The record is from RNAcentral. Lineage: Bacteria; Pseudomonadati; Pseudomonadota; Gammaproteobacteria; Enterobacterales; Enterobacteriaceae.
GUCGAGCGGUAGCACAGAGAGCUUGCUCUCGGGUGACGAGCGGCGGACGGGUGAGUAAUGUCUGGGAAACUGCCUGAUGGAGGGGGAUAACUACUGGAAACGGUAGCUAAUACCGCAUAACGUCGCAAGACCAAAGUGGGGGACCUUCGGGCCUCAUGCCAUCAGAUGUGCCCAGAUGGGAUUAGCUGGUAGGUGGGGUAACGGCUCACCUAGGCGACGAUCCCUAGCUGGUCUGAGAGGAUGACCAGCCACACUGGAACUGAGACACGGUCCAGACUCCUACGGGAGGCAGCAGUGGGGAAUAUUGCACAAUGGGCGCAAGCCUGAUGCAGCCAUGCCGCGUGUGUGAAGAAGGCCUUCGGGUUGUAAAGCACUUUCAGCGGGGAGGAAGGCGGUGAGGUUAAUAACCUCACCGAUUGACGUUACCCGCAGAAGAAGCACCGGCUAACUCCGUGCCAGCAGCCGCGGUAAUACGGAGGGUGCAAGCGUUAAUCGGAAUUACUGGGCGUAAAGCGCACGCAGGCGGUCUGUCAAGUCGGAUGUGAAAUCCCCGGGCUCAACCUGGGAACUGCAUUCGAAACUGGCAGGCUAGAGUCUUGUAGAGGGGGGUAGAAUUCCAGGUGUAGCGGUGAAAUGCGUAGAGAUCUGGAGGAAUACCGGUGGCGAAGGCGGCCCCCUGGACAAAGACUGACGCUCAGUGCGAAAGCGUGGGGAGCAAACAGGAUUAGAUACCCUGGUAGUCCACGCUGUAAACGAUGUCGAUUUGGAGGUUGUGCCCUUGAGGCGUGGCUUCCGGAGCUAACGCGUUAAAUCGACCGCCUGGGGAGUACGGCCGCAAGGUUAAAACUCAAAUGAAUUGACGGGGGCCCGCACAAGCGGUGGAGCAUGUGGUUUAAUUCGAUGCAACGCGAAGAACCUUACCUGGUCUUGACAUCCACAGAACUUUCCAGAGAUGGAUUGGUGCCUUCGGGAACUGUGAGACAGGUCCUGCAUGGCUGUCGUCAGCUCGUGUUGUGAAAUGUUGGGUUAAGUCCCGCAACGAGCGCAACCCUUAUCCUUUGUUGCCAGCGGUCCGGCCGGGAACUCAAAGGAGACUGCCAGUGAUAAACUGGAGGAAGGUGGGGAUGACGUCAAGUCAUCAUGGCCCUUACGACCAGGGCUACACACGUGCUACAAUGGCAUAUACAAAGAGAAGCGACCUCGCGAGAGCAAGCGGACCUCAUAAAGUAUGUCGUAGUCCGGAUUGGAGUCUGCAACUCGACUCCAUGAAGUCGGAAUCGCUAGUAAUCGUAGAUCAGAAUGCUACGGUGAAUACGUUCCCGGGCCUUGUACACACCGCCCGUCACACCAUGGGAGUGGGUUGCAAAAGAAGUAGGUAGCUUAAC